This 433-nucleotide ribosomal RNA is filed under the name uncultured bacterium. Its description in RNAcentral is "partial 16S ribosomal RNA". It matches the Rfam family "Bacterial small subunit ribosomal RNA", at positions 29 to 507 of the family's 1533-position model. The record is from RNAcentral.
AACGAACGCUGGCGGCAUGCCUAACACAUGCAAGUCGAACGAGACCUUCGGGUCUAGUGGCGCACGGGUGCGUCACGCGUGGGAACCUGCCCUUAGGUUCGGAAUAACUCCCUGUCAGGGGUGCUAAUGUCGGAUAAUUUACUCGGACCAAAGAUUUAUCGAAUUUGGGUGGGCACGCGUUGGAUUAGCUAGUUGGUAGGGUAAGAGCCUACCAAGGCUUCGAUCGUUAGCUGGUCAGAGAGAAUGGUCGGCCACACUGGGGCUGAGACACGGCCCGGAAUCCUACGGGAGGCGGGAGUGGGGAAUAUUGGACAAUGGGGGAAAGCCUGAUCCAGCAAGGCCGCGUGAGUGAUGAAGUCCGUAGGGUAGUAAAGCUCUUUUACCCGGGAUGAUAAUGACAGUACCGGGAGAAUAAGCACCGGCUAACUCCGUG